Xiphophorus couchianus (Monterrey platyfish) is the source of this 2148-nucleotide long non-coding RNA. RefSeq lists it as uncharacterized. NCBI's taxonomy places the organism in Eukaryota, Metazoa, Chordata, Actinopteri, Cyprinodontiformes, Poeciliidae. The record is from RefSeq and is a predicted model, not a curated record. The transcript is spliced from 7 exons.
UUGAACAAUGAACUUUAACAAUUCAAACAAUAACAACAACAACAAAAACAAACAGUGUCUUGAUAAUUGGAAAUUAAUUUCUCCUGUCUUGAAUAGACAACUCCUUACAUGUGAACUCCUUUCAGAAACAUGGCAUGAAGCUAUUUGCCUUUGGUCUGGUCUUCAAACUUUCUCCCCCAAUUUUUUUCCCUCACAGAUCUGCUGUGUAUAGCACUGCAUGUGGUAGUAUUUUUUCUUUUCAGACAGUGUCUUCAAGACAUUUGCCAGGUAAUCAUAAAGCUCCCACACAGAUAGAGUUCUCUGGCAGUAUGCAGUAUAAUGUCCCAGGCCAUCUUUGGUCAAGCUUCCCCUGAAAGCAAUGACUGCUCUCAAAGUAAGUGUUUUUUCUUGGAGAACCAUAAUGGAGGGAAAUUCACUCAAGGCGAAUUCAGUUGGAUUUGGAAGGUCACUGUCAAUCCAUGUUAUUUCUCCAAUGCUGUAGCUUGGUCGGAGGCAGGGAGACUGUGGAAGGAAGAGUCCUUUUUCUACUGAAGUGCCAAGCUGAGCCAUGCCAGAAUUCUUCAGGACAGAAAUGUCAGGUGAAACAAAUGUGGCAAUAUUGCACUGGGCAUCGAUUUGGUGGGUACCAGACCUCAACUUUGUUUUUGCAAACAUUGAACUAAGUAGAUCUGCCCUCUGCAAGUAUGUCUUUGGGGUCACGCCAUCUGUAGUUAUGGAUUUCACCAGCUGCAAGAGUGUGUUAUCACUGUCAUUCAUGACAACAUUUUGAAAUGCAGAGCUGUCACAGAAAGUACAGCAUAAGCACUGACAAAGGGCAUCAAAGGAACAGGUGUUUAACACAGAGAGUGACAAUUUCCCAACUUUAACAGGCUGAUGCAUGUUUCCAUUUUUUAAUAAUCCCACUUUCACUCUUUUGGCCCCAGAUGAUGAAUCUGCAUGGAGCCAUUCAGUGCAGGAACUCGGGUAUGAAGUCCUCUUCCUCUUUUUGGGUGGAAGAAUUUGUCCUCUCCAAUUUUCAACCACGUUUUCAUCUGCUGUGGAAAACUCUCUGGUGGCAUCAGAUUCCAUUAAAUCGCUAGAAUCCAUUUCUCUGUUACCUUCAGCAUUAGCAAAUCCGCAUAUUUCCUUCGAUGAAGGAAAGAUGCCGAGAAAUGAAGCGAUCGACUCGCAUGGGUAAGUUCUCAUGUUUGAACAGGCCAUGUUUUAUAUUUUUGAAUUCAGCUUCAACAUUGGCUGAGCUUGCUGUGAGGCUGGUGCUUUUGAAGAGUGGAACCAUUAUUCCUGUCCACAGUGGUAAGUAACUUGCAAGUCUUAUAAUGUGUGGCACAAUCUCAGGGAGGAAAUGGAUGUUAUCCCUAUCCCCAUUAGCUGCAGCAUGUGUCCUGCUCUCCUCACAAAUGUUUGACACCCAGUCUCGUAGGUCAGUCUGGAUGUCAUCACAUGGAUCCACUUGAUGCACUUCCUUUGUGUCUUCAUCUGGAAUGAGGAUGGAAUCUUCUGCAAUCUGGGCUUUCAGGCAGUCCCACUGGCAGACCAUCUUUAUGCAGUGGGCAACAUCAACCCUGAUGUAACAGGGAGGAUGUUUUGCAGACUGGUUCCCAAGUAGCACACGGAAGCAUUCAUCAAUGUAUGACUUCAGGCUAGAAAGAGAAGUGAAGGCCUUCACCAGAGCACCAAGAAUAGCCAGGGAAAAGUCACUCACAGCUUCCCUUGAACACCUUGAUAUAAGAAGAUGUGGCCAGAUGUACCAUUUGGUCGUGCCAGUUUUCUGACAACUGAACCAGUUGCAUCAAAGCAAACUACUGAGGGACAUUUUUUGGUUGCCAGGUUUGGAAGGUGACUUGGCUCUGGAUCUCCAAUAUCCAUCAACUCUGAUGCCUUUGCUGACCUCCAUACAGCUGGUUCCAUCCUACCCUCACACAACUCUUUUGAAACCUGUGCACGAAGGGUUCCUGACAUGAAUCUUUUGGACUGGCCAGUGUGCAGGGAGAUGUCGGCACCUUGGAUGGAGCACUGGAGCACCAUUGGGCUGUUGACCGUUGGCUCUCUGUCACAUGUCAUUUUAACAUGGCCUUGACACUCUUUACGGAAGCCUUUGAUAUCAAUGUACUUACUAGUGACAGUUGGAUAAACCUUUGCUCUUUGGAA